This 830-nucleotide long non-coding RNA is filed under the name Gallus gallus (chicken). The record is from RNAcentral. Lineage: Eukaryota; Metazoa; Chordata; Aves; Galliformes; Phasianidae.
AAGGGUGACAAAGGAGCAAGGCAGCCGGCCGGACACGAUGUCAUCCCUCAGCUGCAAGCAGAGGUAGUACCUGGUAAUAUCUUCAGAUAGCUGGGCAGGGUCUGGAGGGUAGAAUUUCACAUUAAAUGCAAACUGCCAAGCACCACUUCGGAUCUGCUUUUUGAUUUCCUUGGCAGGGUCCAACCAAUUCUUUUGGUUUUCUGUGUCUCUGUAUGUUAGCCCAAAGUAGUCUUUUUCCAACAGGUUCAGAUGCUCACACACUUUGUCGAAUAGCACUUGGCCUCUGGAACGUUUCUCUACUUCACAUGCAUAUUCAGAUCCAUCCAGGAGUGUCACUUUGCACUGCAUAUUUUUAGGUUUCUUGACAAUCUUUAGAGGAGACUUGGAAAGUUUGCUUGAUGAUGAUUUUUGGGAGAGCUUGUCGUCCUCUAACUGCUGAUAUUCAAGCUGUUUUGCACUUGCAGCUGCAAACUCCUGUUCUUUGUCUGUGGGCUGCUCCUUCCUCACCGGCGUGCUGUGUGCUGCCACAGCUGAGAACUGCUCAAGUUCGUUUUGGUGCUCUUCACUCAGUUGCUGCUGCUGCUGUUGCUCCUGUGGUGGGACCUCUGCUGCUGCCCCUGGCUGUGCAGGGGCUUCUUGCUGGUCCUGCUCUUUGUCCUUGGACUCAGAAUCUGAUCCCGACUCUGAGCCCCCGGCCGGGAUCGCCUCCUUCCGCCGCUCCUCCUCCCGCUGCCUCUCGGCGCGGGCACAGCCCCGGCCCGCCGAAGUUCCGCGCCGCACAGCCGGACUCCCACCUGCAGCACCCGGCGGACUCCGGCUGCCGGCACGGC